CUUAUCGAAAUAACAUCAUGUCGUGAUUCGAACGAGGUCGAAUCCUUCUUUUACAUUGAUAGCGAAGGUUCUUAGCCUUAACGGUGUUAUUUCAAACUUAUCGAAAUAACAUCUCGUCGAGAUUCGAACGACGUCGAAUCCUGCAUUUACUUUGAUGGCGAAGGCCCUUAGCCUUAAGGGUGUUAUUUCGAACUUAUCAAAAUAACAUACCAUCAUGAUUCGAACAAGGUCUAAUCGUGCUUUUACUCUGAUGGCAAAAUCCCUUAGCCUUAUGGGUGUUAUUUCGAACUAAUCGAAAUAACCACCCGUCGUGAUUCUAACAAGGUCAAAUCCUGCUUUUACUCUGAUAGCGAAGGACCUUAGCCUUAAGGGUGUCAUUUCGAACUUAUCGAAAUAACAUCCCGUCCUGAUUGGAACGAGGUCGAAUCCUGCUUUUACUUUGAUAGCGAAGGCUCUUAGCCUAAACAGUGUUAUUUCUAACUUAUCGAAAUAACAACCUGUCGUGAUUUGAACGAGUUCGAAUCCUGCUUUUACUUUGAUAGCGAAGGUUCUUAGCCUUAACGGUGUUAUUUCUAACUUAUCGAAAUAACAUCCCGUCGUGAUUCGAACGAGGUCGAAUCCUGCUUUUACUUUAAUGGCGAAGGCUCUUAGCCUUAAGGAUGUCAUUUCGAAUU
Molecule: long non-coding RNA, 674 nt
Filed under: Nicotiana tabacum (common tobacco)
Lineage: Eukaryota; Viridiplantae; Streptophyta; Magnoliopsida; Solanales; Solanaceae
Description: long non-coding RNA (NTAB_LNC004363)
Source: RNAcentral